UUCGUCCUACGGGGGGCAGCAGUUAGGAAUAUUCGUCAAUGGGGGAAACCCUGAACGAGCAAUGCCGCGUGAGUGAUGAAGGUCCUUUGGAUUGUAAAACUCUGUUGUAUGGGAAGAACGACCAGACUAGGAAAUGAGUUUGGAGUGACGGUACCAUGCCAGAAAGCUCCGGCUAACUACGUGCCAGCAGCCGCGGUAAUACGUAGGGAGCGAGCGUUAUCCGGAUUUAUUGGGUUUAAAGGGUGCGUAGGCGGGCUUUUAAGUCAGCGGUAAAAAUUCGGGGCUCAACCCCGUCCGGCCGUUGA
Molecule: ribosomal RNA, 305 nt
Filed under: uncultured bacterium
Lineage: Bacteria
Description: bacterial SSU rRNA
Rfam family: Bacterial small subunit ribosomal RNA
Source: RNAcentral